GCGGUGGCGGUGGAGGUGGAGGAGUAGCACCGUAUUAUGAGUCUCAUUCUGGUGAAAAGGGUAAAGGCAAAACAGGUGAUAAUAGAGGAUUUGAUUGGGAUUUGAGUGAUCACCGUAGUAAUAUGAUGCAAGCGUCGAAUCGGAUCGGUGCGGCGGCAUUUCCAGGUUCGAUUGGCUUGCAGAGGCAAUCAAGUGGGAGCAGCUUUGGUGAAAGUUCGAUCUCCGGGGAGUAUUACAUGCCGUCGUUGUCUAAUGCGGAGGCGUCAUUUGGAUAUCUCAAUGAUGGCGGUGGCGGUGCUGAAGUGAGGAUGAAGCCGUUGGAAGCUAAUUUGUUCGGUGGCUCGUCUUCUAAGAGCUGGGCGCAGCAGACUGAGGAGAGUUAUCAGCUGCAGUUAGCUUUGGCUUUACGGCUUUCUUCCGAAGCUACCUGUGCUGAUGAUCCAAAUUUUUUGGAUCAUGUGCCUGAUGAAUCCGCA
Molecule: unclassified non-coding RNA, 476 nt
Filed under: Hevea brasiliensis (rubber tree)
Lineage: Eukaryota; Viridiplantae; Streptophyta; Magnoliopsida; Malpighiales; Euphorbiaceae
Source: RNAcentral